AGUCGUAACAAGGUAUCCGUAGGUGAACCUGCGGAUGGAUCAUUAUAGGUUAUUUUGAAUGUUGUGUGAACAGUGUGGUUGCAGGUUGUGGUGGGUAUAUUAUAUGAUAUAUUAUAUGGUAUGAUGUAUGUUAUAUUAUAUAUGAUAUGGUGUAUGUUAUAUGGUAUAUUAUAUGAUAUGGUAUAUGAUGUAUCCACCUUGACAACAUUGACGUACAUUAGUGCUGAAUAUCAUUAUAUUGAAAUAUAAACAACUUUCAGCAAUGGAUCUCUUGGCUCUC
Molecule: unclassified non-coding RNA, 280 nt
Filed under: fungal sp.
Lineage: Eukaryota; Fungi
Description: partial internal transcribed spacer region
Rfam family: Eukaryotic small subunit ribosomal RNA (bases 1-45)
Source: RNAcentral